CCUACGGGAGGCAGCAGUGGGGAAUAUUGGACAAUGGGCGGAAGCCUGAUCCAGCAACGCCGCGUGAGGGAUGACGGCCUUCGGGUUGUAAACCUCUUUCAGUACCGACGAAGCGCAAGUGACGGUAGGUACAGAAGAAGCACCGGCCAACUACGUGCCAGCAGCCGCGGUAAUACGUAGGGUGCGAGCGUUGUCCGGAAUUAUUGGGCGUAAAGGGCUCGUAGGCGGUUUGUCGCGUCGGGAGUGAAAACGCCGCGCUUAACACGGCGCUUGCUUUCGAUACGGGCAGACUAGAGGUAUGCAGGGGAGAACGGAAUUCCUGGUGUAGCGGUGAAAUGCGCAGAUAUCAGGAGGAACACCGGUGGCGAAGGCGGUUCUCUGGGCAUUACCUGACGCUGAGGAGCGAAAGUGUGGGGAGCGAACAGGAUUAGAUACCCUGGUAGUCCACACCGUAAACGUUGGGCGCUAGGUGUGGGGUCCAUUCCACGGAUUCCGUGCCGCAGCUAACGCAUUAAGCGCCCCGCCUGGGGAGGUACGGCCGCGAGACUAAACUACAANAGAUAGACGG
Molecule: ribosomal RNA, 568 nt
Filed under: uncultured bacterium
Lineage: Bacteria
Description: bacterial SSU rRNA
Rfam family: Bacterial small subunit ribosomal RNA
Source: RNAcentral